Molecule: unclassified non-coding RNA, 294 nt
Filed under: fungal sp.
Lineage: Eukaryota; Fungi
Description: partial internal transcribed spacer region
Rfam family: Eukaryotic small subunit ribosomal RNA (bases 1-46)
Source: RNAcentral
AAGUCGUAACAAGGUUUCCGUAGGUGAACCUGCGGAAGGAUCAUUAAUGAAAUGAUGGAUUUUUGAGGUUUUCCCUGAAAAAUAAUUCACCACUUGUGCAUUGUUAUUAGACAUACUUUGGUUAGAGCUUUGAUUCCAAAACAAUUGGGAUCAACUUCUUGCUGACUCUAUCCUUUCUGAGGACAGUCGGCUAUGAAGCGGCCUACCAAGGUUUUUUAUCAAACACAUUUAAUUUAUCUGACCUAAACUAUUAUAAUAAAAUCAUAACUUUCAACAACGGAUCUCUUGGCUCUC